UACAGAGGGUGCAAGCGUUACUCGGAUUUAUUGGGCGUAAAGCGAGCGCAGGCGGUCUUUUAAGUCUGAUGUGAAAGCCCACGGCUCAACCGUGGAGGGUCAUUGGAAACUGGAAGACUUGAAUGCAGAAGAGGAAAGUGGAAUUCCAUGUGUAGCGGUGAAAUGUGUAGAUAUAUGGAGGAACACCAGUGGCGAAGGCGACUUUCUGGUCUGUAACUGACGCUGAGGCGCGAAAGCGUGGGGAGCAAACAGG
This 253-nucleotide unclassified non-coding RNA is filed under the name uncultured Carnobacteriaceae bacterium. Its description in RNAcentral is "contains 16S-23S intergenic spacer region". It matches the Rfam family "Bacterial small subunit ribosomal RNA", at positions 524 to 776 of the family's 1533-position model. Lineage: Bacteria; Bacillati; Bacillota; Bacilli; Lactobacillales; Carnobacteriaceae. The record is from RNAcentral.